ACAAGGUUUAUGACCAUAAAAGGAAGGUUGGGAUUGAUUUUGGGUGUUUUGGUCAUAACAGUGUAGGAAUUAGGGACCAAAAAGGGCCCAAAUAAGCAUUUUUCUUGGUUUUCGCACAAUAACUUAAGAAUAAGUAAACAGAAAUCUAUGAAAUUUUAACAUAAGGUCUAUUACCACAAAAGAAAGGUUGGGAUUGAUUUUGGGAGUUUAAGUCCCAACAGUUUAGGAAUUAGGGGCCAAAAACAGG
This 247-nucleotide long non-coding RNA is filed under the name Mytilus galloprovincialis (Mediterranean mussel). Lineage: Eukaryota; Metazoa; Mollusca; Bivalvia; Mytilida; Mytilidae. The record is from RNAcentral.